Molecule: transfer RNA, 78 nt
Filed under: Bacteroides fragilis
Lineage: Bacteria; Pseudomonadati; Bacteroidota; Bacteroidia; Bacteroidales; Bacteroidaceae
Also listed under: 6 other names
Description: tRNA-Pro
Rfam family: tRNA
About the family: Transfer RNA (tRNA) molecules are approximately 80 nucleotides in length. Their secondary structure includes four short double-helical elements and three loops (D, anti-codon, and T loops).
Source: RNAcentral
CGGGGUGUAGCGCAGUCCGGUUAGCGCACCAGCUUUGGGAGCUGGGGGGCGUGGGUUCGAAUCCCGCUACCCCGACAA